CAGCAGCCGCGGUAAUACGUAGGGUGCGAGCGUUAAUCGGAAUUACUGGGCGUAAAGCGUGCGCAGGCGGUUCGUUAAGUCUGAUGUGAAAGCCCCGGGCUCAACCUGGGAAUGGCAUUGGAAACUGGCGAGCUGGAGUGCGGCAGAGGGGGGUGGAAUUCCGCGUGUAGCAGUGAAAUGCGUAGAGAUGCGGAGGAACACCGAUGGCGAAGGCAGCCCCCUGGGCCGACACUGACGCUCAGGCACGAAAGCGUGGGGAGCAAACAGGAUUAGAUACCCUGGUAGUCCACGCCCUAAACGAUGUCGACUGGGUGUUGGGAGAGAGAUCUCUUGGUACCGUAGCUAACGCGUGAAGUCGACCGCCUGGGGAGUACGGCCGCAAGGUUAAAACUCAAAGGAAUUGACGG
This 407-nucleotide ribosomal RNA is filed under the name uncultured bacterium. RNAcentral describes it as "bacterial SSU rRNA". It matches the Rfam family "Bacterial small subunit ribosomal RNA", at positions 509 to 916 of the family's 1533-position model. The record is from RNAcentral.